RNAcentral lists this ribosomal RNA (235 nucleotides) under uncultured Anoxybacillus sp. RNAcentral's name for it is "partial 16S ribosomal RNA". It matches the Rfam family "Bacterial small subunit ribosomal RNA", at positions 1149 to 1382 of the family's 1533-position model. Lineage: Bacteria; Bacillati; Bacillota; Bacilli; Caryophanales; Anoxybacillaceae. The record is from RNAcentral.
CUGCCGGCUAAAAGUCGGAGGAAGGUGGGGAUGACGUCAAAUCAUCAUGCCCCUUAUGACCUGGGCUACACACGUGCUACAAUGGGCGGUACAAAGGGUCGCGAACCCGCGAGGGGGAGCCAAUCCCAAAAAGCCGCUCUCAGUUCGGAUUGCAGGCUGCAACUCGCCUGCAUGAAGCCGGAAUCGCUAGUAAUCGCGGAUCAGCAUGCCCGCGGUCGAAUACGUUCCGGGCCUU